Molecule: RNA transcript, 1047 nt
Organism: Nycticebus coucang (slow loris)
Lineage: Eukaryota; Metazoa; Chordata; Mammalia; Primates; Lorisidae
Gene name: probable RNA-binding protein 18
Exons: 1
Source: RefSeq, a predicted model, not a curated record
GGUGUUGAGGCAGAAGUGUCCGGAGGUCUGUGUGUCUGUGGAGUUGGGACCUGUUUUCGGGGCAUGAGCUGAGGGCACAACGCCGACGCCACGAGUAUUUCAUACAGAUUGAUGGAAGCAGAAACUAAAACUCUUCCCCUGGAGAAUGCAUCCAUCCUUUCAGAGGGUUCUCUACAGGAAGGGCACCGAUUAUGGAUUGGCAACCUGGACCCUAAAAUCACAGAAUACCACCUCCUCAAGCUUCUCCAGAAAUUUGGGAAGGUAAAGCAGUUUGACUUCCUCUUCCACAAGUCAGGUGCUUCGGAAGGACAGCCUCGAAGGUACUGUUUCGUUAACUUUGAAACUAAGCAGGAAGCAGAACAAGCCAUCCGGUGUCUCAAUGGCAAGUUGGCUCUGUCUAAGAAGCUGGUGGUACGGUGAGCACAUGCUCAAGUAAAGAGAUAUGAUCAUAACAAGAAUGAUAAGAUUCUUCCAAUCAGUCUUGAGCCAUCCUCAAGCACUGAGCCUACUCAGUCUAAUCUAAGUGUUACUGCAAAGGUAAAAGCCAUUGAAGCAAAGCUGAAAAUGAUGGCAGAAAAUCCUGAUGCAGAGUAUCCAGCAGCACCUGUUUAUUCCUACUUUAAGCCACCAGAUAAAAAAAGGACUACUUCUUAUUCUAGAACAGCUUGGAAAUCUCGAAGAUGAUGGUUGUGAAUUAAUGUAGCAGCAAAAGCAAAUUGGUCUCCACACCUGAAAUCCUCUGCUUUUGUACUUUGUAGAUGUGAAUGGUACUACCCAACAGAGCACCAUCACAUGCUAGAGUUUGGUAACAUAAGUUUUGGUUGUUCUUACGGAUGUCUGUUCCCUAAACUGUGUGGAAUUGAGCAUCAUCCAGAAUAAAUAGGAUUGUGUCCCAGAUUGUGAUUUGAACCCUGGGAUACUCUAAUUGGCUAGUUUGUUUGGAUCUGUAACUCCAGAAACAUUCUGUAGUGUGCCAGAAAGGAAGGCAAAUAUACAGAAUGUUAUUUAAAUCAGGAAACUAAAUGUAUUAACAUCCAUUAAAAAUAA